GUUAGGAAUAUUGGACAAUGGGCGCAAGCCUGAUCCAGCCAUGCCGCGUGAACGAUGAAGGCCUUCGGGUUGUAAAGUUCUUUAGCCGAUGAUUAUAAUGACUGUAGUCGGAAAAUAAGCCCCGGCUAACUUCGUACCAGCAGCCGCGGUAAUACGAAGGGGGCGAGCGUUAUUCGGAAUCACUGGGCGUAAAGCGUGCGUAGGCGGCUUUGCAAGUUGGGAGUGAAAGCCCAGGGCUCAACCCUGGAAUUGCUCUCAAAACUGCAAGGCUCGAAUUCGGGAGAGGAUAGCGGAAUUGUCAGUGUAGCAGUGAAAUGCGUAGAUAUUGACAGGAACACCAGUGGCGUAAGCGGCUAUCUGGACCGAUAUUGACGCUGAGGCACGAAAGCGUGGGGAUCAAACAGGAUUAGAUACCCUUGUAGUCC
RNAcentral lists this ribosomal RNA (425 nucleotides) under uncultured bacterium. Its description in RNAcentral is "partial 16S ribosomal RNA". It matches the Rfam family "Bacterial small subunit ribosomal RNA", at positions 354 to 796 of the family's 1533-position model. The record is from RNAcentral.